Long non-coding RNA from Scylla paramamosain (green mud crab), 478 nucleotides. RefSeq lists it as uncharacterized. The transcript is spliced from 2 exons. Lineage: Eukaryota; Metazoa; Arthropoda; Malacostraca; Decapoda; Portunidae. The record is from RefSeq and is a predicted model, not a curated record.
GUCGAAGGGGUCUCCCACGGUGCGCACCUUGGCUCGCUCAACACUGCGCUCCACAAACUCAUCGUACACAGCAUCCUCUACAAAGAUCCUCGAGCCAGCACAGCAGCACUGGCCCUGGAGAGAAGAGGGAGUGAGAGGGCUCCAAGGUAGUACAACCUUACCUGGUUGAAGAAGAGGCCAAAGUGGGAGGUCUCAAUGGCAUGGUCCAAGUCUGCAUCCUUGAACACAAUGUUGGGACUCUUGCCGCCCAGCUCCAGAGUGACCCUCUUCAGGUUGCUGGCACCGGCCGCCUGCUGCACCAGGUGUCCAAUCUGCCGACAACACAGGCCAGGGUUGUGGUGCCAAUACUAUUGCUCCUUCACCACUAGAACUUGUAAUACUAAGCAAAAGUAAACAAAAUACUGAAAAUCUAUUUGCUUCAUCUUGAUUUACAAAUACAGAUUUUGACAUUUACCUCAUUAAAUGGAAAAUAUUAAAA